RNAcentral lists this ribosomal RNA (497 nucleotides) under uncultured bacterium. Its description in RNAcentral is "partial 16S ribosomal RNA". It matches the Rfam family "Bacterial small subunit ribosomal RNA", at positions 28 to 507 of the family's 1533-position model. The record is from RNAcentral.
GACGAACGCUGGCGGCGUGCCUAAUACAUGCAAGUUGAGCGAUGAAGAUUGGUGCUUGCACCAAUUUGAAGAGCAGCGAACGGGUGAGUAACGCGUGGGGAAUCUGCCUUUGAGCGGGGGACAACAUUGGGAAACGAAUGCUAAUACCGCAUAUUACCUUUAAACAUAGGUUUAAAGUUUAAAAAAUCCAAUUGAUUAACUAAAAGUUGAUCCCGCGUUGUAUUAGCUAGUUGGUGAGGUAAAGGCUCACCAAGGCGAUGAUACAUAGCCGACCUGAGAGGGUGAUCGGCCACAUUGGGACUGAGACACGGCCCAAACUCCUACGGGAGGCAGCAGUAGGGAAUCUUCGGCAAUGGACGAAAGUCUGACCGAGCAACGCCGCGUGAGUGAAGAAGGUUGUCGGAUCGUAAAACUCUGUUGGUAGAGAAGAACGUUGGUGAGAGUGGAAAGCUCAUCAAGUGACGGUAACUACCCAGAAAGGGACGGCUAACUACGUG